ACUAAAAUGAUACAUUAAAAGAUACCGAAACAUCAAGAGUGGGUCAAACUGUCUACACACAACAGCAACAGAGGAUCAAGCUCAUGUCUACACAAGACGCUGUGCACAAGUUACACGAACGUCUGUUGAUUGAGUCAACUCUUGACGGAAUACAAAGACACAUACGAGCCGUGAAGAGUUUACAAGCAAUCAGGUAUCGCAGAGGGAAGAGAAACCAGACAAAGAGUGAGAGGCAAAAUUGAUUGAACUUGCAACUGCGUACAUCUUGGAGAUAGUCCUAAAGUGGAGGCAAGUCUAUAAAUAGCAAGCUUUUUGAUCUACACUAUGUACACAUUGUACA
Long non-coding RNA from Biomphalaria glabrata, 340 nucleotides. RefSeq lists it as uncharacterized. The transcript has 3 exons. NCBI's taxonomy places the organism in Eukaryota, Metazoa, Mollusca, Gastropoda, Planorbidae. The record is from RefSeq and is a predicted model, not a curated record.